ACGGAGGUAGAGCACUGAAUGUCCUAGGGGGUAUUGCACCUACCGAAGACUAUCAAACUCCGAAUGCCGUCAUCUUAUACGUGGGAGUCAGACUGUGGGUGAUAAGAUUCAUAGUCGAAAGGGCAACAGCCCAGAUCGUCAGCUAAGGUCCCUAAAUGUAAGUUAAGUGGUAAAGGAUGUGGGAUUGCACAGACAACCAGGAUGUUGG
RNAcentral lists this ribosomal RNA (208 nucleotides) under Clostridioides difficile. Its description in RNAcentral is "partial 23S ribosomal RNA". It matches the Rfam family "Bacterial large subunit ribosomal RNA", at positions 896 to 1104 of the family's 2925-position model. Lineage: Bacteria; Bacillati; Bacillota; Clostridia; Peptostreptococcales; Peptostreptococcaceae. The record is from RNAcentral.